RNAcentral lists this ribosomal RNA (440 nucleotides) under uncultured Pseudomonas sp. Its description in RNAcentral is "bacterial SSU rRNA". It matches the Rfam family "Bacterial small subunit ribosomal RNA", at positions 338 to 770 of the family's 1533-position model. Lineage: Bacteria; Pseudomonadati; Pseudomonadota; Gammaproteobacteria; Pseudomonadales; Pseudomonadaceae. The record is from RNAcentral.
CCUACGGGAGGCAGCAGUGGGGAAUAUUGGACAAUGGGCGAAAGCCUGAUCCAGCCAUGCCGCGUGUGUGAAGAAGGUCUUCGGAUUGUAAAGCACUUUAAGUUGGGAGGAAGGGUUGUACGCUAAUACCGUGCAAUUUUGACGUUACCAACAGAAUAAGCACCGGCUAACUCUGUGCCAGCAGCCGCGGUAAUACAGAGGGUGCAAGCGUUAAUCGGAAUUACUGGGCGUAAAGCGCGCGUAGGUGGUUCGUUAAGUUGGAUGUGAAAGCCCCGGGCUCAACCUGGGAACUGCAUCCAAAACUGGCGAGCUAGAGUAGGGCAGAGGGUGGUGGAAUUUCCUGUGUAGCGGUGAAAUGCGUAGAUAUAGGAAGGAACACCAGUGGCGAAGGCGACCACCUGGGCUCAUACUGACACUGAGGUGCGAAAGCGUGGGGAGCA